UACGGGAGGCAGCAGUGGGGAAUAUUGCACAAUGGGCGCAAGCCUGAUGCAGCCAUGCCGCGUGUAUGAAGAAGGCCUUCGGGUUGUAAAGUACUUUCAGUCGUGAGGAAGGUGUUAAGGUUAAUAACCUUAGCAAUUGACGUUAGCGACAGAAGAAGCACCGGCUAACUCCGUGCCAGCAGCCGCGGUAAUACGGAGGGUGCGAGCGUUAAUCGGAAUUACUGGGCGUAAAGGGCACGCAGGCGGUUAAUUAAGUUGGAUGUGAAAUCCCCGGGCUUAACCUGGGAAUGACAUUCAAGACUGGUUAGCUAGAGUCUUGUAGAGGGGGUAGAAUUCCAUGUGUAGCGGUGAAAUGCGUAGAGAUGUGGAGGAAUACCGGUGGCGAAGGCGGCCCCUGGGACAAAGGACUGACGCUCAUGUGCGAAAGCGUGGGGAGCGAAACAGGGAUUAGAUACC
Molecule: ribosomal RNA, 456 nt
Filed under: uncultured bacterium
Lineage: Bacteria
Description: bacterial SSU rRNA
Rfam family: Bacterial small subunit ribosomal RNA
Source: RNAcentral